UUCCUACGGGGGGCAGCAGUGGGGAAUAUUGCACAAUGGGGGAAACCCUGAUGCAGCGACGCCGCGUGAGUGAAGAAGUAUCUCGGUACGUAAAGCUCUAUCAGCAGGAAAGAAAGUGACGGUACCUGACUAAGAAGCCCCGGCUAACUACGUGCCAGCAGCCGCGGUAAUACGUAGGGGGCAAGCGUUAUCCGGAUUUACUGGGUGUAAAGGGAGCGUAGACGGCGCUGCAAGUCCGGAGUGAAAGCCCAUGGCUUAACCAUGGUACUGCUCUGGAAACUGUAGAGCUUGAGUGCGGGAGGGGG
RNAcentral lists this ribosomal RNA (305 nucleotides) under uncultured bacterium. Its description in RNAcentral is "bacterial SSU rRNA". It matches the Rfam family "Bacterial small subunit ribosomal RNA", at positions 336 to 658 of the family's 1533-position model. The record is from RNAcentral.